CUUAAAGCAUCUUCAAGUAACAAGCAUCCUUUACCUUCAUCUGAUUGAGUUUCCUGACUUAUAACUGAACUUAUGAGGCAACAUACCUCUAGAGAGCGGCCCAGACCUUUAUAUAUUUUUCUGUAUGUGGCCCUCGGUGAAAAAGGUUUGGACCCCCCUGUUCUAGACCAAUGACUGGUUACUUCCUGUCAUGCAGCUGAGAGCUGUGGCAGGCAGUCGUAGUGUUUGCAGAGAAGAUAUGAUGGGAUGUAAAGCAUGAGAUCAGGACUCUGAAGCUGACUCAAAGAACUAACACUUAUUUUAAACUGGAUCUAAAACUGUUGGAUUGUGUUCGUCUCUACAGGAUCAGAGGAUAUGAGCCGAUCAGAGCCACGAUCCAGAAGACCUGUGACAGGAAGUGAAGACACACAGAAAGUUUAUUCAUCACGGGGCGAGUUUGAGACGUAAAGAGGAGCGUGGAGGCAUUUUGGAAAAUAAAGAAGAAGGCUGCAGCUGAUGAGAGACUUCCUGUUAGCUCCCCUCAAUAUUAAAUGAACAAAAACAAUCAAUUGUACUUAAAGCUUUUCUUAAGAAGAAAGAUGUGUUGCACAUACACCUGCUGCUACCUACCACCACCUCCCACCCAUCCCGGCACCAAAGAGGAGACUCCAUCGACCCCAGAUACCCCAACUCACUCUUCUUCAGGUUAGCUUGGAGCCCCGCCUUUACCUGCCCCAACAUCUCACUUUGAACGAUGUAGUCAUCCGGAUAUCUGCAUACUGAGAGUGGCACGCAGGACCCGGUCAAUGAGCUGCUGGAAGGGGGUCCACUGGACUGGAGGGGCGCUUGGAUCUGGUGAUGCCUUGCUCUUCCUGAAAGGGGAGGACACCUAUCUGCCAUCGUUUUUCCACCUGACGACUGAGUUCGGCAUCGGGGGUUCCAGUUGGGGUGAAGAGAAUCUGGGGGGCAUCCGAUGGCUCCUGAAUAGGGGGGGCCCUUGGAGUGUCCAACCUAAUGAUAACAUUAAGAAUAAUAAUAAUGCAUUUUAUUUGUAAAGCACCUUUCAUUGCUAAAAGUAAUCUCAAAGUGCUACAAGGGGCAUAAUAUACUUUUUUUUUUUUUUAAAGAAACACAAGUUUAAUAAAAGGCUUUAAAAAAAAGAAAUUGUUUUAGGCCCUUCUUAAAGGAGUCAGUGGUCUGUGGACAGGGGCGGACUGGC
Molecule: long non-coding RNA, 1198 nt
Organism: Trematomus bernacchii (emerald rockcod)
Lineage: Eukaryota; Metazoa; Chordata; Actinopteri; Perciformes; Nototheniidae
Exons: 3
Source: RefSeq, a predicted model, not a curated record